This is a ribosomal RNA of 1250 nucleotides. It matches the Rfam family "Bacterial small subunit ribosomal RNA", at positions 1 to 1233 of the family's 1533-position model.
UUUAUCGGAGAGUUUGAUCCUGGCUCAGGACGAACGCUGGCGGCGUGCCUAAUACAUGCAAGUCGAGCGGACAGAUGGGAGCUUGCUCCCUGAUGUUAGCGGCGGACGGGUGAGUAACACGUGGGUAACCUGCCUGUAAGACUGGGAUAACUCCGGGAAACCGGGGCUAAUACCGGAUGCUUGUUUGAACCGCAUGGUUCAAACAUAAAAGGUGGCUUCGGCUACCACUUACAGAUGGACCCGCGGCGCAUUAGCUAGUUGGUGAGGUAAUGGCUCACCAAGGCAACGAUGCGUAGCCGACCUGAGAGGGUGAUCGGCCACACUGGGACUGAGACACGGCCCAGACUCCUACGGGAGGCAGCAGUAGGGAAUCUUCCGCAAUGGACGAAAGUCUGACGGAGCAACGCCGCGUGAGUGAUGAAGGUUUUCGGAUCGUAAAGCUCUGUUGUUAGGGAAGAACAAGUACCGUUCGAAUAGGGCGGUACCUUGACGGUACCUAACCAGAAAGCCACGGCUAACUACGUGCCAGCAGCCGCGGUAAUACGUAGGUGGCAAGCGUUGUCCGGAAUUAUUGGGCGUAAAGGGCUCGCAGGCGGUUUCUUAAGUCUGAUGUGAAAGCCCCCGGCUCAACCGGGGAGGGUCAUUGGAAACUGGGGAACUUGAGUGCAGAAGAGGAGAGUGGAAUUCCACGUGUAGCGGUGAAAUGCGUAGAGAUGUGGAGGAACACCAGUGGCGAAGGCGACUCUCUGGUCUGUAACUGACGCUGAGGAGCGAAAGCGUGGGGAGCGAACAGGAUUAGAUACCCUGGUAGUCCACGCCGUAAACGAUGAGUGCUAAGUGUUAGGGGGUUUCCGCCCCUUAGUGCUGCAGCUAACGCAUUAAGCACUCCGCCUGGGGAGUACGGUCGCAAGACUGAAACUCAAAGGAAUUGACGGGGGCCCGCACAAGCGGUGGAGCAUGUGGUUUAAUUCGAAGCAACGCGAAGAACCUUACCAGGUCUUGACAUCCUCUGACAAUCCUAGAGAUAGGACGUCCCCUUCGGGGGCAGAGUGACAGGUGGUGCAUGGUUGUCGUCAGCUCGUGUCGUGAGAUGUUGGGUUAAGUCCCGCAACGAGCGCAACCCUUGAUCUUAGUUGCCAGCAUUCAGUUGGGCACUCUAAGGUGACUGCCGGUGACAAACCGGAGGAAGGUGGGGAUGACGUCAAAUCAUCAUGCCCCUUAUGACCUGGGCUACACACGUGCUACAAUGG